This 80-nucleotide transfer RNA is filed under the name Ulva meridionalis. Its description in RNAcentral is "tRNA-Gly". Lineage: Eukaryota; Viridiplantae; Chlorophyta; Ulvophyceae; Ulvales; Ulvaceae. The record is from RNAcentral.
GCUUUUGUAAAAACCUAUUCUUUUAACGUUUUUUAGGAUUGCCUAUUUUUGCUCGCUUUUUUGUUAAGGCAAAAGCUCCA